This 588-nucleotide ribosomal RNA is filed under the name uncultured bacterium. RNAcentral describes it as "partial 16S ribosomal RNA". It matches the Rfam family "Bacterial small subunit ribosomal RNA", at positions 355 to 937 of the family's 1533-position model. The record is from RNAcentral.
UGGGGAAUUUUCGGACAAUGGGGCGAAAGCCUGAUCCAGCAAUGCCGCGUGUGUGAAGAAGGCCUUCGGGUUGUAAAGCACUUUUUGUCCGGAAAGAAAUCCUUGGCUCUAAUACAGUCGGGGGAUGACGGUACCGGAAGAAUAAGCACCGGCUAACUACGUGCCAGCAGCCGCGGUAAUACGUAGGGUGCAAGCGUUAAUCGGAAUUACUGGGCGUAAAGCGUGCGCAGGCGGUUUGCUAAGACCGAUGUGAAAUCCCCGGGCUCAACCUGGGAACUGCAUUGGUGACUGGCAGGCUAGAGUAUGGCAGAGGGGGGUAGAAUUCCACGUGUAGCAGUGAAAUGCGUAGAGAUGUGGAGGAAUACCGAUGGCGAAGGCAGCCCCCUGGGCCAAUACUGACGCUCAUGCACGAAAGCGUGGGGAGCAAACAGGAUUAGAUACCCUGGUAGUCCAGCGCCCUAAACGAUGUCAACUAGUUGUUGGGGAUUCAUUUCCUUAGUAACGUAGCUAACGCGUGAAGUUGACCGCCUGGGGAGUACGGUCGCAAGAUUAAAACUUAAAUGAAUUGACGGGGUCAUAGCUGUUUCC